RNAcentral lists this ribosomal RNA (279 nucleotides) under uncultured bacterium. RNAcentral describes it as "partial 16S ribosomal RNA". It matches the Rfam family "Bacterial small subunit ribosomal RNA", at positions 506 to 784 of the family's 1533-position model. The record is from RNAcentral.
UGCCAGCCGCCGCGGUAAUACGGAGGGUGCGAGCGUUAAUCGGAAUUACUGGGCUUAAAGAGUUCGUAGGUGGUUGAAAAAGUUGGUGGUGAAAUCCCAGAGCUUAACUCUGGAACUGCCAUCAAAACUCUUCAGCUAGAGUAUGAUAGAGGAAAGCAGAAUUUCUAGUGUAGAGGUGAAAUUCGUAGAUAUUAGAAAGAAUACCAAUUGCGAAGGCAGCUUUCUGGACCAUUACUGACACUCAGAGGCGAAAGCUAGGGGAGCAAAAGGGAUUAGAUA